UUCCGGUUGAUCCUGCCGGACCCGACUGCUAUUAGAGUGGGACUAGGCCAUGCGAGUCAACAUAGCAAUAUGUGGCAUACGGCUCAGUAACACGUAGUCAACAUGCCCAGGGGACGUGGAUAACCUCGGGAAACUGAGGAUAAACCGCGAUAAGUCACUACUUCUGGAAUGGGUAAUGACUCAAAUCUACAUGGCCCCUGGAUUGGACUGCGGCCGAUCAGGCUGUUGGUGAGGUAAUGGCCCACCAAACCUGUAACCGGUACGGGCUCUGAGAGGAGGAGCCCGGAGAUGGGCACUGAGACAAGGGCCCAGGCCCUAUGGGGCGCAGCAGGCGCGAAACCUCUGCAAUAGGCGAAAGCCUGACAGGGUUACUCUGGGUGAUUUCCGUUAAGGAGAUCUUUUGGCACCUCUAAAAAUGGUGCAGAAUAAGGGGUGGGCAAGUCUGGUGUCAGCCGCCGCGGUAAUACCAGCACCCCGAGUGGUCGGGACGUUUAUUGGGCCUAAAGCAUCCGUAGCCGGUUCUACAAGUCUUCCGUUAAAUCCACCUGCUUAACAGAUGGGCUGCGGAAGAUACUAUAGAGCUAGGAGGCGGGAGAGGCAAGCGGUACUCGAUGGGUAGGGGUAAAAUCCGUUGAUCCAUUGAAGACCACCAGUGGCGAAGGCGGCUUGCCAGAACGCGCUCGACGGUGAGGGAUGAAAGCUGGGGGAGCAAACCGGAUUAGAUACCCGGGUAGUCCCAGCUGUAAACGAUGCAGACUCGGUGAUGAGUUGGCUUCUUGCCAACUCAGUGCCGCAGGGAAGCCGUUAAGUUUGCCGCCUGGCUCUUACGGUCGCAAGACUGAAACUUAAAGGAAUUGGCGGGGGAGCA
This 868-nucleotide ribosomal RNA is filed under the name uncultured archaeon. RNAcentral's name for it is "bacterial SSU rRNA". It matches the Rfam family "Archaeal small subunit ribosomal RNA", at positions 1 to 878 of the family's 1478-position model. The record is from RNAcentral.